This 456-nucleotide ribosomal RNA is filed under the name uncultured bacterium. RNAcentral's name for it is "bacterial SSU rRNA". It matches the Rfam family "Bacterial small subunit ribosomal RNA", at positions 340 to 786 of the family's 1533-position model. The record is from RNAcentral.
UACGGGAGGUAGCAGUGGGGAAUAUUGCACAAUGGGCGAAAGCCUGAUGCAGCUAUGCCGCGUGUAUGAAGAAGGCCUUAGGGUUGUAAAGUACUUUCAUCGGGGAGGAAAAACAAAACUAAUAAUUUUAUUUCUUGACGUUACCCGAAAAAGAAGCACCGGCUAACUCCGUGCCAGCAGCCGCGGUAAUACGGAGGGUGCUAGCGUUAAUCAGAAUUACUGGGCGUAAAGAGCACGUAGGUGGUUUUUUUAAAGUCAGAUGUGAAAUCCCUGGGCUUAACCUAGGAACUGCAUUUUGAAACUGAAAUACUAGAGUAUCGUAGAGGGAGGUAGAAUUCUAGGUGUAGCGGUGAAAUGCGUAGAUAUCUGGAGGAAUACCUGUGGCGAAAGCGGCCUCCUAAACGAAUACUGACACUGAGGUGCGAAAGCGUGGGGAGCAAACAGGGAUUAGAUACC